CUACCAGCUAAUUCUGUCCGAGAUUGGGACGAAUUGGAAAGAAAAUUCCAUGAAAACUUCUACAGAUCAGAACCUGAACUUUCGGUUACUGCUCUAGCUCAGUUUUGUCAAAAGUCAAGAGAAUUGGUUGAAGAAUAUUUAAACCGAUUUAAAAUGGCAAGAAGCCGUUGCUUUGUUAGAAUGUUAGAGUCAGAAUUUACUAAAAUGGCAGUUAAUGGACUGCAUUUUAAAAUAAAAGAUCAUUUUGAAGAUAAGUAUUUUUCAAAUUUAUUUAAUUUGGGCGUUCGGGUUGCUCAAUAUGAGCAAUUCAGGAACAAUGAAGAUCGGCCUAGGUGGAGCCGAGUGGUCAAAGGGGUUGAUCUAAGGGCCAAAUAGUUGAAAGCAUUAACUCCCUUAUGCUUCCGAAAAUAUAGUAGCACUAGUUGUUGCUUUUUUUACUAUAGCAGUAUAUAUAUAUAUACUAUAACAAAAACGGUGUAUAGUGACACUUUUAAAUGUCGGUACAGAUAAAAAAAAGUACUGUUGGCUAAAUUACCGACACUUUUUAAAAGUGUUGCUAUAUGUAGGGUCGCUAUAUGUAGGGCUGCCUUGAUGUUUGGCACCCACUCCUCCAGCGACCUAUGGCGAAAGGACAUGUGGUGAUCAUAGUCCUCUACAGUCCCUGCGAGAUCCUCGCUGUUGAACUCCAGCCGCCGGAACCCUACCUCGUUUGUUGCGGUGGUGGAGGAGGAAAAUGGGAGAUGAUGAUUAAUUUUUUUUCCCUUUUUUAUUUGUAAUCGGGCCGAGUGAGCUAGGUGGGGUUCGUUAAGUAAAAUUUUUUUUUAUUUUUGAUUGGAUUGAGCUUUAUAUUUAGGCCUUAUUAGAUUUUUUAAAAAAGUUUUAGCAUAAAUGGGACACUUUUGUUGGACACUUCUACAAAAGUGUCCCAAAAAUAUGUCCCUAUAACCUAAUUCUGUUGUAGUUAUAUAUAUAAAUAUAUAUAUAGAGUAGGUCUCCCGUACUUUCGAAAGUACGGAGGCCUCCGUGCUUGUAAGUUGUUAUCGAUGAUAGGACAUCCGAUUUGACGAUCGGCUCCGUUAGGCAUAAUCUACGCUGUUGAAACUAUCUAGAAACCAAAUUUUAUAAUUUUUCGACUUCAUUUACCAAGCGAUCAAAGGGUCUCAAAAUUGACUAUUUGAACGGCCGAUGUGGCACGUUUUUAAGUUCAACGGUGUAGAAGUAUCCAAAUUACAUGAAACUUUAAUAGAAAAUUCUACUUAGCAUCAAGAGCAAGAACAAUACUUCCGAUUUGAAAUUUGAGUCCUUUAUCGCUAUUUUUUAUGAGAUUUUUAUUUUCAGCCGUUCAUUUUGAAGCUACUCGUUCACUAGGCAAACAAAGUCAAAAAAUUAUAAAAUUUGGUUUCUUAAUAGUUCCAAUAGCGUAGAUCAUNUAUAUAUAUAUAUAUAUAUAUAUAUAUAUAUAUAUAUAUAGCAGGGCUGCUGUGCUCUCAGGAGCAUAGAGCCCUUCGUGCUCCUAAGCCGUUUUUGAUGAUGGGACUUCCAAAUCAACAAUCGGCUCCGCUAGACUUGAUCUAGCAUAUUUGAAGUAUAUAGAAAAUAAAUUUUGCGAUUUUUCAAUAUCGUUUACUUAGUGAUUGAAAGGGUUCAAAAUCAACGGCUGAAAAUAAAAAUCUUAUAAAAAGUAGUGAUAUAGUAUUAAAAUUUUCGAUCAGAGAUAUUGAACUUGUUGUAGAUAGUAUAAAAAAUUUUCUAUCAGAAUUUCAUCUGAUUUAGAUACUUCUACGCCGUUAAACUUGAAAUGGUAGAUAUCGACCAUUAAAAAUUGUUCAUUUUGAAUCUUUUUGAUCACUAAGUAAACGAUAUCGAAAAAUCGCAAAAUUUAUUUUCUACAUACUUCAAAUAUGUUAGAUCAAGUUUAGCGAGCCGAUCGUCGAUUCGGGAAUCCUAUCAUCAAAAUCGACUCAGGAGCACGGAAGCACGGAGGGCUCUGUGCUCUUGAGAACACAAAAGACCUACUAUAUCUAUACUAUAUAUAAAAGCGUAUAGGAAUUCCGACAAUGACAGACGGAAUCCAAAAAGGAAUAAAAUAAUAUUCCCUAUGAAUGAUUAUGAUUAAUUUGUUAAAAAUAUCUCAAAUAAAAAUUAACGGUUAUGAUCAAUCUAUUAAAUAUAAAAUAAUAUUCCCUACGAAUGAUUAUGAUUAAUUUGUUAAAAAUAUGUCAAAUAAAAACGAACGGUUAUGAUCAAUCUAUUAAAUUUCUACUACAUAUAAAAAUCUAUUCCCUAUAAAUGGUUAUGAUCAAUUUGUUAAAAAAAUAUCUCAAAUAAGAACAGUUAUAAUCAAUCUAUUAAAAAAUAGUAUUCGCAUCCAUCUAUAAAUUCAAUCCUAUUAUAAUCAAUUUGUUAAAAAAUAUCUCAAAUUAAAACAAACGGUUAUGAUCAAUUUGUUAAAAAAUAGCAUUUCUAUUAAUAUAUUUUACAUUAAAAUUAAAAUUUGAGUUUAAAUUAUGAAUUAAAUUUAAUUUUUUGAUAUCAAAUUUGAAUUAAUAAUUAAUUUUUUUAUUACCGUGGAUCAAAAUUAAAUUUUAAAUUUUAAAUUAAAUGUGAAUU
RNAcentral lists this long non-coding RNA (2610 nucleotides) under Ananas comosus (pineapple). Its description in RNAcentral is "long non-coding RNA (ACOM_LNC003007)". The record is from RNAcentral. Lineage: Eukaryota; Viridiplantae; Streptophyta; Magnoliopsida; Poales; Bromeliaceae.